This 741-nucleotide ribosomal RNA is filed under the name uncultured bacterium. RNAcentral's name for it is "bacterial SSU rRNA". It matches the Rfam family "Bacterial small subunit ribosomal RNA", at positions 8 to 752 of the family's 1533-position model. The record is from RNAcentral.
AGAGUUUGAUCCUGGCUCAGGAUGAACGCUAGCGAUAGGCUUAACACAUGCAAGUCGAGGGGCAGCACUUCGGGUGGCGACCGGCGCACGGGUGAGUAACACGUAUGCAACCUACCCAUAACAGGGGGAUAGCUCGUCGAAAGGCGAAUUAAUACCGCAUAAAGCAGGGGAGUCACAUGAUUCUAUUUGCUAAAGAUUUAUCGGUUAUGGAUGGGCAUGCGCAGGAUUAGGUAGUUGGUGAAGGUAACGGCUCACCAAGCCGACGAUCCUUAGGGGAACUGAGAGGUUUAUCCCCCACACUGGUACUGAGACACGGACCAGACUCCUACGGGAGGCAGCAGUGAGGAAUAUUGGUCAAUGGUCGAGAGACUGAACCAGCCAAAUCGCGUGAAGGACGACGGUAUUAUGUAUUGUAAACUUCUUUUGUGAGGGAAUAAAGUGCAUCACGCGUGGUGUUUUGUAUGUACCUUACGAAUAAGCAUCGGCUAACUCCGUGCCAGCAGCCGCGGUAAUACGGAGGAUGCGAGCGUUAUCCGGAUUUAUUGGGUUUAAAGGGUGCGUAGGUGGGCAGAUAAGUCAGCGGUGAAAUACUUGAGCUUAACUCGAGAACUGCCGUUGAAACUGUCAGCCUUGAGAGUGAACGAGGUAGGCGGAAUUCGUAGUGUAGCGGUGAAAUGCAUAGAUAUUACGAAGAACUCCGAUAGCGCAGGCAGCUUACCAGGCCACGUCUGACCCUGAAGC